UACGUAGGGUGCAAGCGUUGUCCGGAAUUAUUGGGCGUAAAGAGCUCGUAGGCGGCUUGUCACGUCGGGUGUGAAAGCCCGGGGCUUAACCCUGGGUCUGCAUUCGAUACGGGCUAGCUAGAGUGUGGUAGGGGAGAUCGGAAUUCCUGGUGUAGCGGUGAAAUGCGCAGAUAUCAGGAGGAACACCGGUGGCGAAGGCGGAUCUCUGGGCCAUUACUGACGCUGAGGAGCGAAAGCGUGGGGAGCGAACAGG
RNAcentral lists this ribosomal RNA (253 nucleotides) under uncultured bacterium. Its description in RNAcentral is "partial 16S ribosomal RNA". It matches the Rfam family "Bacterial small subunit ribosomal RNA", at positions 524 to 776 of the family's 1533-position model. The record is from RNAcentral.